CAGCCGCCGCGGUAAUACGAAGGGGGCUAGCGUUGUUCGGAUUUACUGGGCGUAAAGCGCACGUAGGCGGAUCGAUCAGUCAGGGGUGAAAUCCCAGAGCUCAACUCUGGAACUGCCUUUGAUACUGUCGAUCUGGAGUAUGGAAGAGGUGAGUGGAAUUCCGAGUGUAGAGGUGAAAUUCGUAGAUAUUCGGAGGAACACCAGUGGCGAAGGCGGCUCACUGGUCCAUUACUGACGCUGAGGUGCGAAAGCGUGGGGAGCAAACAGGAUUAGAUACCCGAGUAGUCCCUGUCUCUUAUAC
This 301-nucleotide ribosomal RNA is filed under the name uncultured bacterium. Its description in RNAcentral is "partial 16S ribosomal RNA". It matches the Rfam family "Bacterial small subunit ribosomal RNA", at positions 509 to 807 of the family's 1533-position model. The record is from RNAcentral.